AGCUUCUCCACACGCUUUUUGA
RNAcentral lists this microRNA (22 nucleotides) under Echinops telfairi (small Madagascar hedgehog). Its description in RNAcentral is "Ete-Novel-1_3p* (star (passenger))". Lineage: Eukaryota; Metazoa; Chordata; Mammalia; Afrosoricida; Tenrecidae. The record is from RNAcentral.